This 750-nucleotide ribosomal RNA is filed under the name uncultured bacterium. RNAcentral's name for it is "bacterial SSU rRNA". It matches the Rfam family "Bacterial small subunit ribosomal RNA", at positions 61 to 802 of the family's 1533-position model. The record is from RNAcentral.
GUCGUGGGGCAGCAGGUCUGUAGCAAUACAGAUGCUGGCGACCGGCAAACGGGUGCGUAACACGUACGCAACUUACCCAUUACAGGGGAAUAGCCCAGGGAAACUUGGAUUAAUACCCCAUAUUAUAUAGGAUUGGCAUCAAUCUUAUAUCAAAGCUUCGGCGGUAAUGGAUGGGCGUGCGGUUGAUUAGAUAGUUGGCGGGGUAACGGCCCACCAAGUCUACGAUCAAUAGCUGAUGUGAGAGCAUGAUCAGCCACACGGGCACUGAGACACGGGCCCGACUCCUACGGGAGGCAGCAGUAAGGAAUAUUGGGCAAUGGACGAAAGUCUGACCCAGCCAUGCCGCGUGAAGGAUGAAGGUCCUCUGGAUUGUAAACUUCUUUUAUCUGGGGCGAAAAUCACCCUUUCUAGGGUGCUUGACAGUACCAGAGGAAUAAGCACCGGCUAACUCCGUGCCAGCAGCCGCGGUAAUACGGAGGGUGCAAGCGUUAUCCGGAUUUACUGGGUUUAAAGGGUGCGUAGGCGGGCAGGUAAGUCAGUGGUGAAAUCCCCGAGCUUAACUCGGGAACUGCCGUUGAUACUAUCUGUCUUGAAUAUCGUGGAGGUAAGCGGAAUAUGUCAUGUAGCGGUGAAAUGCUUAGAUAUGACAUAGAACACCAAUUGCGAAGGCAGCUUGCUACACGAUUAUUGACGCUGAGGCACGAAAGCGUGGGGAUCAAACAGGAUUAGAUACCCUGGUAGUCCACGCCC